UGAUCGGAUAGAUAAAGCAUGCAGGCAUUGUACGCAGGUAUAUACGUCUAGUCGGUGACGGGCGAGGGGGGCGUGUGAUAACGAUGGCUGCGAUAACGGCGCGGCGGAGAGCGCGCCGGUCGCUCGCCCGCGGCAGACACCAAUUUUUCAACACUUUUUGCGCGUCUAACUGCAAGUGCUAGCGGUAUAUCGUGGUGCGCAGUGUCAUAGUGUGGAGCGACCUAACAUGUACUAUAUGAUUUAAGCAGUUCCGCAGAAGCCGUAGGCCAAUGCGGACACGUUCUCGGCAAUUACCCUUAAUUGGUAGAUUAACAAAUUGACAUAACUUUUGCUUUCUGGCCUCGUCAUCGUCUCGGCAGUCGCAUAGUGUUAAUGUGUUUUCGGCGUUGAGUAAACAUUUUAGUGACGUUCCCACUUUUCACUUACAAUUUCUGAUAAAGUAAACAUUACUAGUGAAACGGAAUCAAAACAGUGAUGAGUCAGUGAUUUAAGUGCGUGAGUUAAGAUGAAGGAUUCGGCAGCGCGCUGCGAGGACGUGGCGGACAAGCUGGUGCGGCUGUUCGGGUGGCGGCAGACCUACCCGGUGCAGAAACUGCAGAGGAACAUACUGCCGAAGGCCAAUGAAGCGGGCCCCGAAACAUGGGUGGGAGUGCGAGCGCUGCGCGCCAGCUCCGGCGGCAUCCUGGACCCGGACGACCGCGUGCGCGACGUGGCCGACGACCGCGAGACGCUCACCGCCGAGUGCGCGGCGCAGGCGCCGGCGCCGCGGGCGGCGCAGGCCGACGGCGCCAGCGGCUCCAGCGCGGGCACCGCAUCCCCGGACAUGUUCCGAGGCGGCGGCGGCGUCGGCGGCAGUAUGCGUGUGCCCAACUCCGAGUCGUGCGUGGAGGUGGGAGCGGCGGACCUUGAAGACGGCGCCAACGGACUGCAGGUCCGGCGCGGCAGUGAACCCACCUUGCACCAGGACACCUUACCUCCUCAACGAACGGCCACAGAGCAGACGAAACGCUGGUCAGCAGCGGUAGUCUGCCGGGACGACAACAGAACAACACAGAAAGUGCAUCCUUUGCCGGAUGGCCGGCCGCCCGACCCUGACAGACUCAGCUCCGGACACUUCCAGCGACAAACCAAUAGGCUCUCCAUGCAAUUCUCUGGACCGGGGAGUGGAGUAUGGCUAGACGCGGCCGACAGAGUGCAGAGCUACGGCAGCAAGAGCUUGCCCCGCGACGCGAGAAGAGAGCCCCUCGGCCAGGACACGUCGGGCGACAACCACCGAGUAGAAGACAUGUUGCGAUGGGUGUCCGGGGUCAACAAUGUCGCCAGCGUGCAUCCGCAGGAGCGCCCACUUGAUCUCUUACCCGAGGUGGGCAGCACGGAACGCGCGAUAUCCGGCCAAGAAGUCCCAGUGAGCCCGAGCAGCAAACCAGCAACAGCAACGCAGAAUGUUUCCGUCACGCUCGUGAAAGGCGAGAAGGGACUAGGCUUCACAAUCACCACCAGGGACAACCCGACGGGCGGACACUGUCCUAUCUACAUUAAGAAUAUUCUUCCUAAGGGUGCGGCGGUAACGGACGGCCGGUUGCGCGCCGGAGACCGGCUAGUGUCCGUCAACAACGUGUCCGUCUCCGGCCUCACGCAGCAACAGGUGGUGUCGCUGCUGAGGAACACGCCCACCGACUCCACUGUUGACAUCGUGGUGCAGCGGCCUGUCAGCAGAACACAGAGGGUUGAGCCCCAACAGAGUCCCCAAAAAUUCACUGAAAAGGCGAUAGGCACGCCCAACGGCCAAUCCAAACCUGUAGACAUCGGUGAGAACGGGAGAGUGUCUAGUAUAGUGAACGCCAUCAACCAGGGCUCAACUCGGGGCAGGAUACCCAAGAGCUCUUCCAAGGACGACCUCAUCAAAGACCAGGACACCUCGCUGCAGGACGCUUUGAAUUCUAGUUCUAACUCUAUCCUUAGUUUAAGAAAUCGUCUGAUCCUUCGGUUAGACGUACCUGUUCACGACUCCGAAAAGGCUGGGCUUGGCAUCAGCGUCAAAGGCAAAGUCACCGUGGGCACGGAUCCUCAAGAUCUCGGCAUCUUCAUCAAGUCAGUGCUACACGGCGGUGCCGCUUCUAGAGAUGGCAGAUUACAUACAAACGACCAGCUGCUGAGCGUAAACGGUGUGUCGCUAGUGGGGCAGUCCAACGCCGAGGCCAUGGAGACACUCCGGCGCGCCCUACUGCACGCGAGGCCCAGCGUUCGCGGCAGCAUCUCACUCACCAUCGCUAGAAGGACAGAUAGUAUGGACAGCCUGGCUCGAUGGAAAGACGACACGCCGCCCAACGGCAACGAAUCCACCAACAGCGUCGAAAACAACAGCUCCCAGAACUUCAACACGGUCAUAUACAACACCGACAAGGAAAACAAACCCACCGACUACAACCAGAACAAAUUCGACAACCACAAAGACCGGAGCAUAGACAACGAACACAGAGGCAGCAAGAAACACGCGUCCAUAAUCACAAUAAAUAAUAACACGAGCUGGGUCUCCAACCAAUCCGAUGAUAGCAAAGGGUAUUUAGAAAGAGAGAAAGAUACGGUUCCUCAUGAUCCUAAAAGAGAUAGCUUCGAAUGGAGUCGGCUAGACGGUUGGAAUCCGGUUAUAGAUAGACUGACUGGUCUAAGGAACGAGAGUUACUAUAUGGCGACGCAACUGGACGCGCCGGUGACGAAUGGUCAUUUCAGGCCGAAUGUGGGACAUGUUCAUAUGUCGAGGUCGCCGCCAGCGCACCAUAAUGUUAUUAUUGAAGAAGACUAUGGAACCACCACGAGAGGAAGCACAAGCGGCCCCGGCGAAUCAGGCAGCGAAAGCGGAGCGGGCUUCAGUCGGGACGCCGUAGGACGCCGCUCCAUGUCGGAGAAACGCCACGCCGCCAUGGACGCCAAGACCACCGGCACCUACAAGAAGAUCAAGGAGAUCAAGGCACAGCACUCAUUACAAGUGGGACCUUCACUGGGAAUGCGGAAGUCGUCUAGUUUAGAGUCCCUACAAACAGCGAUACAGGAAAACCAAAGGAACCCGCGGAACGAACCGAUAUACGCGCGAGCGCAUCCACCGCUGAAGCACUGGCUGACGGACGGCGGGCGCGGGCCCGAGGGCAUGGUGCGCGGCUCGCCGCAGCAGUCCUCGCUGUCGCACAAGAAGCCCGGCCUGCUCAAGUCGCUCUCCAAUAUGUUAAGAAUCGGCAAACCCCACAAAAAGCCGGAAACGGAAAUAUACGGGAGAUCUCAACCAGGCCGAGCAUCGGAGAAGUCUCUAUCGAGGGAAGCGCUAGAGCGGCACAACCGAGAGGAGAGAUUGGAAGAAACUACGCAUAACAAGCCCGAGAUCCACCACUCGCGGCAGAGCAGCGGGGAGCGCUCCGAGCGUGCGAACGCGCACGCGCACGGCGCGCCGCCGUACCGCGCGCCGCCUGCAAGAACAGCGCCCACGCACCAACGUAAUCUGUGGAUGCGGGUUUUUAACUACUCAAGUUUAAGAGCGGAAUGGAAAGUGCCUGGGGACCAACCGGCCACUACGUCAACUACGACGAAAUCCAACAAAACCUUAACGCGCGGCGUGAAAAGUUGAGCGAGGUGCAAAUAGGACAGAUGAGGCGGCAGGUCCAUGCGCAGAGGGCCAAAGUCGAGGAAGAGAGCCGCCGUGUAGGCGCUACCACUGGUUACCACUCGCAGCGCUCCUGUAGAGACCCGCCCGCCCCGCGGCCGCAGUCCAACUACUACGAGUACGAGAGCGCGGCCCCCAAGCGGCCAGGCAAGCUCUCACAUUACCACU
RNAcentral lists this unclassified non-coding RNA (3820 nucleotides) under Leguminivora glycinivorella. RNAcentral's name for it is "partitioning defective 3 homolog, transcript variant X3". The record is from RNAcentral. Lineage: Eukaryota; Metazoa; Arthropoda; Insecta; Lepidoptera; Tortricidae.